Non-coding RNA from Paramuricea clavata, 73 nucleotides. The record is from the annotation of a GenBank genome assembly. Lineage: Eukaryota; Metazoa; Cnidaria; Anthozoa; Malacalcyonacea; Plexauridae.
GACCACGUAGCUCAGUUGGCAGAGCAUUGGGCUAGUAUUCCAAAGGUCGUAGGUUCGAUUCCCACCUUGGCCA